This 335-nucleotide unclassified non-coding RNA is filed under the name soil metagenome. RNAcentral's name for it is "partial contains 5.8S ribosomal RNA, internal transcribed spacer 2, and large subunit ribosomal RNA". The stretch from base 1 to 120 matches the Rfam family "5.8S ribosomal RNA", at positions 35 to 154 of the family's 154-position model. The record is from RNAcentral.
GAUGAAGAACGCAGCGAAAUGCGAUAAGUAAUGUGAAUUGCAGAAUUCAGUGAAUCAUCGAAUCUUUGAACGCACAUUGCGCCCGCCAGUAUUCUGGCGGGCAUGCCUGUUCGAGCGUCAUUUCAACCAUCAAGCCCCCGGCUUGUGUUGGGGACCUGCGGCUGCCGCAGGCCCUGAAAACCAGUGGCGGGCUCGCUAGCCACUCCGAGCGUAGUAAUACAUCUCGCUCAGGGCGUGCUGCGGGUUCCGGCCGUUAAAAAGCCUUAUUUACCCAAGGUUGACCUCGGAUCAGGUAGGAAGACCCGCUGAACUUAAGCAUAUCAAUAAGCGGAGGA